This 207-nucleotide ribosomal RNA is filed under the name uncultured Peptostreptococcaceae bacterium. Its description in RNAcentral is "partial 16S ribosomal RNA". It matches the Rfam family "Bacterial small subunit ribosomal RNA", at positions 567 to 774 of the family's 1533-position model. The record is from RNAcentral. Lineage: Bacteria; Bacillati; Bacillota; Clostridia; Peptostreptococcales; Peptostreptococcaceae.
GUGCGUAGGCGGUCUUUCAAGUCAGGAGUGAAAGGCUACGGCUCAACCGUAGUAAGCUCUUGAAACUGUAAGACUUGAGUGCAGGAGAGGAGAGUGGAAUUCCUAGUGUAGCGGUGAAAUGCGUAGAUAUUAGGAGGAACACCAGUUGCGAAGGCGGCUCUCUGGACUGUAACUGACGCUGAGGCACGAAAGCGUGGGGAGCAAACA